Molecule: long non-coding RNA, 284 nt
Filed under: Elaeis guineensis (African oil palm)
Lineage: Eukaryota; Viridiplantae; Streptophyta; Magnoliopsida; Arecales; Arecaceae
Description: long non-coding RNA (EGUI_LNC005163)
Source: RNAcentral
AAUAGGCCCAGCUUCAGAAGACCCUUCCCCUGCUACCACCAAAAUAGCCCGUAUUUGGGUCACAACAGCUCUAUGCCUCCCCCCUCUUCAUGGGUCGACCAAUCUUGACAACCCUCAGUACCCCACUCCUUUCCCUCAUCCUCCACGGACACCAUGGAAGAAGACCCCUUAAUUGUAGAAGAAGCCGGCCCUUCAAUCUCCUCGCCGACUUUUGCCAACUUCGAACCAGUUGCCUCAACACACCUCACCACCAUGGGGGUAAUCGAAACAUCAAUAGACCCAUC